Molecule: ribosomal RNA, 271 nt
Filed under: uncultured bacterium
Lineage: Bacteria
Description: partial 16S ribosomal RNA
Rfam family: Bacterial small subunit ribosomal RNA
Source: RNAcentral
UACGGAGGAGGCAAGCGUUAUCCGGAAUUAUUGGGCGUAAAGCGUCCGCAGGUGGCUAUUCAAGUCUGCGGUCAAAAGACUGGGGCUUAACCCCUGGAAAAGGCCGUGGAAAACUGAAAAGAGCUAGAGUGCAGUAGGGGUAGAGGGGAAAAUUCCCCGGGUGUAGCGGGUGAAAAUGCGUAGAUAUCGAGAAAGAAACACCCAAAUAGCGAAAGCACUCUGCUGGGCCCGAAACUGACAUUUAGAGACGAAAGCUAGGGAGCAAAGGGAG